This 449-nucleotide ribosomal RNA is filed under the name Variovorax paradoxus. RNAcentral describes it as "bacterial SSU rRNA". It matches the Rfam family "Bacterial small subunit ribosomal RNA", at positions 1035 to 1489 of the family's 1533-position model. The record is from RNAcentral. Lineage: Bacteria; Pseudomonadati; Pseudomonadota; Betaproteobacteria; Burkholderiales; Comamonadaceae.
CAGGUGCUGCAUGGCUGUCGUCAGCUCGUGUCGUGAGAUGUUGGGUUAAGUCCCGCAACGAGCGCAACCCUUGUCAUUAGUUGCUACAUUCAGUUGGGCACUCUAAUGAGACUGCCGGUGACAAACCGAGGAAGGUGGGGAUGACGUCAAGUCCUCAUGGCCCUUAUAGGUGGGGCUACACACGUCAUACAAUGGCUGGUACAAAGGGUUGCCAACCCGCGAGGGGGAGCUAAUCCCAUAAAACCAGUCGUAGUCGGAUCGCAGUCUGCAACUCGACUGCGUGAAGUCGGAAUCGCUAGUAAUCGUGGAUCAGAAUGUCACGGUGAAUACGUUCCCGGGUCUUGUACACACCGCCCGUCACACCAUGGGAGCGGGUUCUGCAGAAGUAGUUAGCUUAACCGCAAGGAGGGCGAUUACCACGGCAGGGUUCGUGACUGGGGUGAAGUCGU